Aedes albopictus (Asian tiger mosquito) is the source of this 386-nucleotide long non-coding RNA. RefSeq lists it as uncharacterized. The record is from RefSeq and is a predicted model, not a curated record. NCBI's taxonomy places the organism in Eukaryota, Metazoa, Arthropoda, Insecta, Diptera, Culicidae. The transcript is spliced from 3 exons.
GAACGUCAAAAUCUGGGUAAAUGGGACUUGGGACAAUUUUUUUCGCAUUAUUCGCGGCGGAGUCCAAACCGAAAAAUGAGCGGCCACGAAGAAACUUUGGAUGGCGGUACCAGCAACCUGCUGACUGGUGGCAUUCUGUGCCGCUUGCCGACUGAAAAAAAAUGGCAAGGUUAGGAGUAGUCGCGGGAGGAAGUAGCCCGAUGCUGGAUAAACGAAUUGAACACCUUCUGCAAUAGUCACAGGAUCUGGCCAGCUUGGCGUGAAAAUCUACACAAGGAUGUAUGCAGGCUACCAAAUUCAAAUAUGGAUCAUCUCCAUCGUCGAACAAGCCAUUCUGCGAAAAAUUCCUUUAUAUUAGUGAUAGAAAACUGUAGACACUAAUAAAU